AGGAAUAAGUUGCUGCCAGAUACUUCUAACAAAACCACAGCCAAGGGAACGGACUUGGCAAACACAGUGGAAGAAAGAAAACCCUGCUGAGCUUGAUUUUAGUCCGAUUCUGUGAACAGCCAUGUCAGGUAGAGAUGAGUGGGAGGCAUUUUGCAGCAGUGAAAUACCACGAAUUUCAUCGAUUCUUUACUUAUUCGGUAGGACGAGAAUUGAGCCACAUCAGCCUCGAAAUUUUCGAUCUAAGCAUAGCUGUUAGGCCCGUUACGUGACCCUUGACUGUAGCAGCGAUGGACAGGGGAGAAACACCAGCAGUUUA
Molecule: non-coding RNA, 316 nt
Organism: Gongylonema pulchrum
Lineage: Eukaryota; Metazoa; Nematoda; Chromadorea; Rhabditida; Gongylonematidae
Source: Rfam